Jatropha curcas is the source of this 837-nucleotide long non-coding RNA. RefSeq lists it as uncharacterized. NCBI's taxonomy places the organism in Eukaryota, Viridiplantae, Streptophyta, Magnoliopsida, Malpighiales, Euphorbiaceae. The record is from RefSeq and is a predicted model, not a curated record.
ACAUGUAUUGGAUUCUGGUGACAUGGCAACAAAGUGAAGAUGGCUUGAAGCGUAGUUUAUGCUGAUGACAUGGAUAUUCCACGUAGCGGAAUAUGAUGAUAUGGAUAGAAAUGGCAGGAGAAACGUGGCUACGUUAGUCUGACGUGUCAUUUACCAAUGACGUGGCUACUCCAACCUGGCACAGUAAGCGGGCACGUGGUGAGUGCCAUGUGGUAUUUUGAUGAUGUGGGCUAUAUUAAGCUUCGUUCCACAGAGAGGCCGUCUUGGUGCAAGUUGAAGGACCUGUCGAGCAGAAACAACCUUUGGUUGACGUCUCGUCUGAUGUUAUUGGCGCUUUUCAUAACAAUGGCAAUCUUUCUCUGCAACUGCGUCAUACUUAAUAUUCGGGCCUUCUUUAACGCCAAUCAAAUUUUUCAUGAGAAUCGCCAUUUUCCAUACGGUCUCAACUUUAAACGAGAGGACGCAGAGAGAGUUAUUCUUCUAUGCCAUUAUGAAUUGAUCCAGCGAAGUGUUGAACCUGCUCCAGAAAAUAACUACAGGCACAGUUGAUGUUCCUUCUUUGCAGGGAGCUUGCAGUUAUGCUAUGGGCUAGUAUUUGUUCUACUAUUUAAAAGUUGCAUUCUAUUUUGGGGGUUGAUAGGUUCUCAUCCUGUAUAGUUUUGAGCAGUCGAUGAACUCUGUCACAGUUUUCUGGGUUUUCCAAUUCUGGUCAUUGGGAUAUUUGUAGAUAUCACCAAAAUUACAUGCCUUAAAAUCCAUCUAUAUUCUACUACUUCUGAGGAAAAAAAACAAAAGAAAAUACAGAGAAAACAUUAAAGAUCAGCAGAUUCAAAAUUC